Molecule: ribosomal RNA, 457 nt
Filed under: uncultured bacterium
Lineage: Bacteria
Description: bacterial SSU rRNA
Rfam family: Bacterial small subunit ribosomal RNA
Source: RNAcentral
GCGGAGGCAGCAGUGGGGAAUUUUGGACAAUGGGGGCAACCCUGAUCCAGCCAUGCCGCGUGAGUGAAGAAGGCCUUCGGGUUGUAAAGCUCUUUCGGCCGGGAAAAAAUCGCAUGGGCUAAUACCCUGUGUGGAUGAUGGUACCGGAAUAAGAAGCACCGGCUAACUACGUGCCAGCAGCCGCGGUAAUACGUAGGGUGCGAGCGUUAAUCGGAAUUACUGGGCGUAAAGCGUGCGCAGGCGGUUUUUUAAGACAGGCGUGAAAUCCCCGGGCUCAACCUGGGAACUGCGCUUGUGACUGGAAGGCUAGAGUACGGCAGAGGGGGGUGGAAUUCCACGUGUAGCAGUGAAAUGCGUAGAGAUGUGGAGGAACACCAAUGGCGAAGGCAGCCCCCUGGGUCGAUACUGACGCUCAUGCACGAAAGCGUGGGGAGCAAACAGGAUUAGAUACCCGUGU